UGGGGAAUAUUGGACAAUGGGCGCAAGCCUGAUCCAGCCAUGCCGCGUGAGUGAUGAAGGCCCUAGGGUUGUAAAGCUCUUUCACCGGUGAAGAUAAUGACGGUAACCGGAGAAGAAGCCCCGGCUAACUUCGUGCCAGCAGCCGCGGUAAUACGAAGGGGGCUAGCGUUGUUCGGAUUUACUGGGCGUAAAGCGCACGUAGGCGGACUAUUAAGUCAGGGGUGAAAUCCCGGGGCUCAACCCCGGAACUGCCUUUGAUACUGGUAGUCUUGAGUGCGAGAGAGGUGAGUGGAAUUCCGAGGGUAGAGGUGAAAUUCGUAGAUAUUCGGAGGAACACCAGGGGCGGAGGCGGCUCACUGGCUCGAUACUGACGCUGAGGUGCGAAAGCGUGGGGAGCAAACAGG
This 404-nucleotide ribosomal RNA is filed under the name Verrucomicrobiota bacterium. Its description in RNAcentral is "Verrucomicrobia bacterium partial 16S ribosomal RNA". It matches the Rfam family "Bacterial small subunit ribosomal RNA", at positions 355 to 776 of the family's 1533-position model. The record is from RNAcentral. Lineage: Bacteria; Pseudomonadati; Verrucomicrobiota.